CCUCCAGGUAACCAUUCACCAGUCUUGUACAGUAGAGCGGGACAUUACGUUUACUCUCAGCGGAAUUCACCCGAGAAGGCAUCAGUUCCUGCACUGCACUGGUCUUCACCACGAUUAGUAUAAGGUGGAGUAAUGCACGAAUGGAUAAAAAGGAGUGAGAGGUUAUCAGCUGUUGAGGAGCAAAUGGAGAUCCGUGUCCAGGGGAGUGAGGCUAUUGCGAGUGUGAAAGGUUGUCCAGGAAGUAACUAAGAAGACAUGAACAGAGAGGUGGUGAUCCUCGGUGGAGUGAUGAAGUAGAGCAGCCAGCACCCCAAGUAGAGCAGGCACUGUGGAAAAAUAGUU
Long non-coding RNA from Oreochromis aureus, 342 nucleotides. RefSeq lists it as uncharacterized. Lineage: Eukaryota; Metazoa; Chordata; Actinopteri; Cichliformes; Cichlidae. The record is from RefSeq and is a predicted model, not a curated record. The transcript has 3 exons.